UCUCUUUAAUUUACUACAGAAGAAAGUAGGAGAGGAUACCUGAUUUGGACUCACUCUUACAUUAAAAUCUGGUCCCUCAAGCUACAUAACAGAAGUCUGAGCUUCUAGACUUAUCUGUGUAGCACUUGUUCAUGGACACUAUGAAUGAUCACAUAUACACUAGAAGCUUCACGUACAAUCUAGGAUAUUAAGUGCCCAGUAAAUGUUUAUUGGUGAUGUCAGUGCCAGCUUUACAGCUUUGGACAUAGGAACAAGCUACUGGCUUCCAUGAGCAUCUGCCUACGAAGGUUUACAUGGAAGAGAGAUAGAUCACGAUGUCAGUGAUCACUUCUAGUUUUGGUGAUUUUUUUCAGGGUCAGAAGAGUCAUCAAGUUCUUCAGAUACUAUGAUUGAUGGUGGACGCCAGCUCAAACGGACAAAGCGACUAGAAACCAAGACAGGGACCACAUCUCUGGGAGCAGAAGGGAGGAUGCUGGAGCUUGGGAUGG
RNAcentral lists this small RNA (488 nucleotides) under Rattus norvegicus (Norway rat). Its description in RNAcentral is "uncharacterized LOC108348868". The record is from RNAcentral. Lineage: Eukaryota; Metazoa; Chordata; Mammalia; Rodentia; Muridae.